Molecule: ribosomal RNA, 1632 nt
Filed under: Triticum aestivum (bread wheat)
Lineage: Eukaryota; Viridiplantae; Streptophyta; Magnoliopsida; Poales; Poaceae
Description: partial small subunit ribosomal RNA
Source: RNAcentral
AUGGACACGGGCGCAGAUCCUCCGCGCUACCGCCGGCUCAGGAAGGCCUCCGACCUCCGCACCGCCGCCGCCCACCCACCCCAGAAACGGAUCCGUCCGAGUGAGGAACAGGACAGUUGCUGUGAGGACAAGAUCAGCAGCUUACCGGACGAGAUGUUAAUCAUGAUCAUCGAUAAGCUAGAUGCACGGACGGCGAUAACCACCACUAUCCUUUCGAAGCGAUGGCGGGAUCUUCCUGCACACUCGCACACAUGUUAUGACCUUGGUGUUGAUGACAUCCUCCCUCCACGCUACCACAAACUGAAGCAAAUGGUGGUGGAGGCUAAGGCAGGGUAUGUGGCAGAGAAGAAUGCACUGAAGUUGGCCGGUAGUCAUGCUUUUAGAGACCGAUUCUUUGCCGUCAGUGACUGGAUGUGGAGAGUCCGACGGCUGACAACUCACCUGCAACGUUAUGAGCGUUGGGCCAUGCGACGCUAUGUUAAACGGGUGAACGCGUUCCUUCUUCCCCCCACCAAUGUUCAGCAACGGUCUAUCCAGAAGCUGAGGCUUCAAACCUUUGGGACGAGCAAUUGCAUUGAUCAGUGGAUUACGUCAGCGAUUGGCAAAUGGGGCGUUGAAGAUUUGGAGCUUGUCAUUGACAACUCUUCCUGGCGCUAUGACUUCCGGCUAUUGGAUGAAUGCAAGAAUGUGCGAUUGAAACGACUUGUGCUAUCCAAUUGUUAUCAUCAUGAUGCACCCAAGUCCUCGACAUUUCAGAGGCUCACAGCACUUACUCUGUGCAAAGAACAUAUUUCACACGUUUGUUAUAUUCUUAGAAACUGCGUGCAGCUGGUGGAUUUGAGCCUGAAACAUUCCGAUUAUAACCAAGAUCCUCUUCAUAUUCGUGUUCCUAAGUCAAAGUUAAAGAAUCUCCAAUUGGACAACUGCAACGUUGGGCAAGUCUAUCUGACUUCACUGCCUUGUCUUGAAGCAUUUGCUUGUCGCGGUCAGCCAAUCGAAUUACACUACGGCGAGGUCCCUCGACUUAGGCAUGUGAGUUUGAACUUCUUGCAAACGGGAGAUAAUGGCAAGGAUGGUUCCUUAUGUCGACUAGGCAAGUUGUUUUUAGGGAUUCCGCCACCACUAGAGUACCUUGCUCUGCAAUUAAGAGGGGGUCAGAUGUGGAUUAAACCUGUUGCCAUUCGCAGCCAGCUUAAUCAUCUCAAGAAACUAUUCAUUGCAAACCUGGCAAUGAACUGGGGUACAUUUUGGAUUCUCACCCUACUUGCUGCCGCACCUGCAUUGGAGUCGCUCCAUGUUCAUUUUGACUCAGAGAAGGCGAGUGCUUCAGGAUUACUAGAUGUGCAAGCGGAACACCAUCACCACCACUAUCACCUGAAAGAACUCAUGGUCGUUGGCUUCAACGGGGUGGCGUGGCAGACAGGCUUUGUGAAGGGGAUCAUGCAGGCAUCGCCGAUCCUGGAGCACGUCCACCUGCUGGACGGGCACGUCGUAGAGGAUGAAGAACAGGAACUCGUCGGCCUGGAGAUUGUCCGCCGCCGCCGGGAGUGGCACGAGUGCGAGAGAUUGGAGGUGCUCGACGAACUGACAGACGGGAGCAGUUCACUGCAUCCCAAAAUAGUUUUGGAAUGA